ACAAUUCACUCAUGUUUGAUUUCUUAAAGGUGAUGAUAUGUAUCACAUGUUUGAUUUCUCAGUUUGAGGUUAAGAAGGAGAAGUUACCUUUUCUGAAUUGUGACUCUUUAUUAGCUUGUUCUCUCAUUUGGAAAGGUAAUAAGAUCCUAACUAAUUCAUAUGUGUAAUCUAUUUGGCUGGAUGGCAUAGAUUCUCUUACUGCAUAGAUUCUUUUUCUUUUGGACUUCUUCAUAUGUGUGAUCUAUUGAGAAAUAUGUUGAUUUUUACAAAAGAAAAUGAAUUGAGAUGGCAAUGGAUGAAUGAAGGCAGGUGGGGAAGAUUUUUGCAUACGUGAUAGGAAUGUUAUUGUCUCUCUUAUAUCAUACUUUUUUUAUUUAAUUUUUUGUUUCUUUUGUUUUGCAAUUGAUAGUAUACUUUAAGAACAUUUACAUGUAUUGAUUUUCUGAAUUGAGGUAAUUCCUUUCUCGUACCAGUGUCUCGAAAUAUUUCUCUGCUAUGAGAAUGUUGGUGGGACUUGGAUUUCCAUCCCAAGGACCCUUUUAAGGAUGAUGGCAUGCUAGAUUUCAUUUAUUUAAUGUUUUUAAGCCUUUCUUUUUCACUUAAUUAGUGAUAUUGUUUAAGAUUGCCCCGCAUGUGCACACUUCAUAAUAAUAACUCUUUAGAUUUGAAUUCAAAUCUGUUUACGUAAAGCACACUUUUCCACCAUUCUAAUUGUUGACCUUGCUAAAAGCUCCUUCAGGUUAAAACUCUCCCUCCCAUUUUGCCUCCUUUAUCAAACAUUCAAACUUGCUUUUCCUCUUGUUUUUGGUGCUAUGAAUCUAUGCAGUAAGCAAUUUAAAAUCUACCAAAUGGUGAUCCUUUCCUAUCAAGCUCGUGAUGCAAAUGAGUCAGAGUCUCCUUUGGGUACAAGACAAUGAUUUGAUGGAAGUAACAUUUAGAAAGUUUAUGAUAUUGUUUUAGGAUAAAACUAUACCUAGUUUAUUAUGAAUUAAGUAACAUUUCUUUCUUUGUAACUACUUUUGUAAUGAGAUUACAUUCUGUAAUGAGAUUACAUUGACUUCUAGUNUAUCUUGAUGUGACNAUACAAUUGUUUCUCAA
Molecule: long non-coding RNA, 1098 nt
Organism: Vigna radiata var. radiata (mung bean)
Lineage: Eukaryota; Viridiplantae; Streptophyta; Magnoliopsida; Fabales; Fabaceae
Exons: 2
Source: RefSeq, a predicted model, not a curated record